AGAUUAACGCUGGCAGGAAAGAAAGCAGGAGUGCCCUUCAAACACGCUGCUGAAGGGCAACUGGAGGUUCCGGGGAAAUGUGAAGAAAGAAACGCAAACACCCCUAGGAACCAGAUUGCAUCUUGGAACUGAGGAGGUUCUGGAAGCUGUACACCCAAGGAAGACAUUCUGUGCCGGAGAGAGAGUGGGAGAGAUGUGACUGCUGCUGGCUGGGUGAGGACAGGCCCAGAGGACAGCAUCACUGGCACCCACCCCUGCAUUUGGGUCCUCUGCACCUCAGCUCCCAGCAUCUGGGCCUCCUCCCUGCCUGCCUCCCCCCCUCACUCAAUCUGUCUCCACUCAAGAGGCUGAUGGGCAGGUCUCCCUGCUUCUUCAAAUCUUUCAAAGGGAAACUUCACAAAGACAGGAGCCCUGACCCAUCCACCUUGGCCUCACCCCACCCCAGCACGGAAGCCAGGCGGCCAGUGGAGGCCGGUAGUGCUGAAUGGACAUGGGGCUGGAUGAAAAGACUUCCGCCUGCCUCUCUCAGCCCCGGAAUCGCCAUGAGCUGCUAUUCCGGAGAUUCUAUGCUACAGAAGUACAAGGUGAAGAAUGCAUACCGAUUACAUUGGCAAGGGAGAGAAGAGCCUGGUGCUAGCACUUUUGCUUCUUUGGUCUUUCAAUAAUGUCUUUCCCCUUGAUUAUACAUGAUAUAUUCCUAUUUUGGAAACUUCGAAAACUAUAAAAAAGUCAAAAGAAUAAUAUUACCACUCAGAAAUAAAGAUCAUCAAGUUUUGGUGUA
This 781-nucleotide long non-coding RNA is filed under the name Homo sapiens (human). Its description in RNAcentral is "HSALNT0345225". The record is from RNAcentral. Lineage: Eukaryota; Metazoa; Chordata; Mammalia; Primates; Hominidae.